CAGACGUGCGCUCCCCGCGCUCGCCGCUCAGUUUCUGGCUGGCUGUCGUACAGAGCAGACAUGUGUUCCCCGCGCUCGCUCAGUUUCUGCCUGGAAGUUGCCGCGGGGGAAAAGAGCUAUGACGGUGGCGGCAUCUGGUGUGAUGCCUUGCAACUACGUGGCCACCUGUCGUCGAUCUCUGCAACUGCUGGGUGCAAACUACCAACAUGGCGGGCGCUGGUCGCUCGGGUGUUGCGGAGCGGCUUCUUCGCCGCGGCAUCGUUGAUUUUCGAAUAAAUUGUUUCUCUCCACUCUA
Long non-coding RNA from Ornithodoros turicata, 295 nucleotides. RefSeq lists it as uncharacterized. The transcript has 2 exons. Lineage: Eukaryota; Metazoa; Arthropoda; Arachnida; Ixodida; Argasidae. The record is from RefSeq and is a predicted model, not a curated record.